AGAGUUUGAUCAUGGCUCAGAUUGAACGCUGGCGGCAUGCCUUACACAUGCAAGUCGAACGGUAACAGGUCUUCGGAUGCUGACGAGUGGCGAACGGGUGAGUAAUACAUCGGAACGUGCCCGAUCGUGGGGGAUAACGCAGCGAAAGCUGUGCUAAUACCGCAUACGAUCUACGGAUGAAAGCGGGGGAUCGCAAGACCUCGCGCGGACGGAGCGGCCGAUGGCAGAUUAGGUAGUUGGUGGGAUAAAAGCUUACCAAGCCGACGAUCUGUAGCUGGUCUGAGAGGACGACCAGCCACACUGGGACUGAGACACGGCCCAGACUCCUACGGGAGGCAGCAGUGGGGAAUUUUGGACAAUGGGCGAAAGCCUGAUCCAGCCAUGCCGCGUGCAGGAUGAAGGCCUUCGGGUUGUAAACUGCUUUUGUACGGAACGAAAAAGUCUUCUCUAAUACAGGGGGCGAAUGACGGUACCGUAAGAAUAAGCACCGGCUAACUACGUGCCAGCAGCCGCGGUAAUACGUAGGGUGCGAGCGUUAAUCGGAAUUACUGGGCGUAAAGCGUGCGCAGGCGGUUAUAUAAGACAGAUGUGAAAUCCCCGGGCUCAACCUGGGAACUGCAUUAGUGACUGUAUAGCUAGAGUGCGGCAGAGGGGGAUGGAAUUCCGCGUGUAGCAGUGAAAUGCGUAGAUAUGCGGAGGAACACCGAUGGCGAAGGCAAUCCCCUGGGCCUGCACUGACGCUCAUGCACGAAAGCGUGGGGAGCAAACAGGAUUAGAUAC
This 780-nucleotide ribosomal RNA is filed under the name uncultured Pseudomonadota bacterium. RNAcentral describes it as "bacterial SSU rRNA". It matches the Rfam family "Bacterial small subunit ribosomal RNA", at positions 8 to 785 of the family's 1533-position model. The record is from RNAcentral. Lineage: Bacteria; Pseudomonadati; Pseudomonadota.